AGCGCAGGCGGUAAGACAAGUUGGAAGUGAAAACCAUGGGCUCAACCCAUGAAUUGCUUUCAAAACUGUUUUUCUUGAGUAGUGCAGAGGUAGAUGGAAUUCCCGGUGUAGCGGUGGAAUGCGUAGAUAUCGGGAGGAACACCAGUGGCGAAGGCGGUCUACUGGGCACCAACUGACGCUGAGGCUCGAAAGCAUGGGUAGCAAACA
This 207-nucleotide ribosomal RNA is filed under the name uncultured bacterium. RNAcentral describes it as "partial 16S ribosomal RNA". It matches the Rfam family "Bacterial small subunit ribosomal RNA", at positions 568 to 774 of the family's 1533-position model. The record is from RNAcentral.